AUUGCCUCAGUAACGGCGAGUGAAGCGGCAAGAGCUCAAAUUUGAAAGCUGGCCCCUUCGGGGUCCGCGUUGUAAUUUGCAGAGGAUGCUUCGGGUGCAGCCCCCGUCUAAGUGCCCUGGAACGGGCCGUCAUAGAGGGUGAGAAUCCCGUCUGGGACGGGGUGUCUGCGUCCGUGUGAAGCUCCUUCGACGAGUCGAGUUGUUUGGGAAUGCAGCUCUAAAUGGGUGGUAAAUUUCAUCUAAAGCUAAAUACUGGCCGGAGACCGAUAGCGCACAAGUAGAGUGAUCGAAAGAUGAAAAGCACUUUGAAAAGAGAGUUAAACAGCACGUGAAAUUGUUGAAAGGGAAGCGUUUGCGACCAGACUCGCCCGCGGGGUUCAGCCGGCAUUCGUGCCGGUGUACUUCCCCGUGGGCGGGCCAGCGUCGGUUUGGGCGGCCGGUCAAAGGCCCUCGGAAUGUAUCACCUCUCGGGGUGUCUUAUAGCCGAGGGUGCAAUGCGGCCUGCCUGGACCGAGGAACGCGCUUCGGCUCGGACGCUGGCG
RNAcentral lists this ribosomal RNA (542 nucleotides) under Aspergillus fumigatus. Its description in RNAcentral is "eukaryotic LSU rRNA". It matches the Rfam family "Eukaryotic large subunit ribosomal RNA", at positions 74 to 631 of the family's 3401-position model. The record is from RNAcentral. Lineage: Eukaryota; Fungi; Ascomycota; Eurotiomycetes; Eurotiales; Aspergillaceae.